AGUUGUCGGAUGUAGUGUAGUUUGAUUAAGAAUUAAGAAUUAUUAAACUAAGAAAAGCACGCUGUAUCGACCGUUCCUAGUGUAAGUGGCAAAGAACUUGGUGGUUGGUACUCCAGGUUUCAAAUUUGAAUCCUAAUUGAUUUAUAUUUCCAGCUAAAUUUAUUUUUUUUUAAAAAUAAACGAAACAGAUAGUAUGCUACUUUUCUCUAAAAAAAAAAGGAAAAAAAAAGGACAGUGUGCAAUGAAGUAUCUCCGAUUAACUUCAUUUGUAUCAAAUUAUGUGGAGUUUCUACUUUAAUGGUUUAGAAUUACAAACUCUUUUCUAGUUUCCACCACGAAAUUUUUUUUUCCAUCUUUUAUUUUUUCAUUUUGUUAUUUUUCAGACACUCUAUCAGAGUUUGCGUAAGGGAUUCUAUGGUAGAUAAGUAGAAGAGAUGAAAUUCGGUAAACAUGUCACAUUGUUAAGCUCAUGUGAGAUUGGACUGAAUCGAAACUUAGUUAAUAUGUGUUUUUUUCCAACUGAAUAAAUGUAAAAAUAUUUAAACACCAUUUUUUGCAAGCUUAAUUAAAGAAUAAUGAUUGUUUCGUAUUAUUUAACGUGAUAUCAGAGUAAGAGGUCUCGAAUUCGAGUCACUUCAGAUUCCUAGCAUUAUUAAUUUUUUCAUAUUUUCAUUUUUUAUAAGCGUAAGAUUUUAGAAAAUGACAAUUAUUUUCGUAUUAUUUAAUAGAAGAAGAUGGUAGUCCA
RNAcentral lists this long non-coding RNA (745 nucleotides) under Ananas comosus (pineapple). Its description in RNAcentral is "long non-coding RNA (ACOM_LNC006127)". Lineage: Eukaryota; Viridiplantae; Streptophyta; Magnoliopsida; Poales; Bromeliaceae. The record is from RNAcentral.